UAGGGAAUAUUGGACAAUGGGUGAGAGCCUGAUCCAGCCAUGCCGCGUGCAGGAAGACGGCCUUCUGGGUUGUAAACUGCUUUUGUCAGGGGAUAAAAAGCUUUGCGAAGCGAAUUGAAGGUACCUGGCGAAUAAGCCACGGCUAACUACGUGCCAGCAGCCGCGGUAAUACGUAGGUGGCAAGCGUUGUCCGGAUUUAUUGGGUUUAAAGGGUGCGUAGGCGGUCUAUUAAGUCAGUGCUGAAAUAUCCCGGCUUAACCGGGAGGGUGGCAUUGAUACUGAUGGACUUGAGUGCAGUCGAGGUAGGCGGAAUUGACGGUGUAGCGGUGAAAUGCUUAGAUAUCGUCAAGAACACCGAUAGUGUAGACAGCUUACUAGGCUGUAACUGACGCUGAGGCACGAAAGUGUGGGGAUCAAACAGGAUUAGAUACCCUGGUAGUCCACACUGUAAACGUUGAUGACUCGCUGUUGGCGAUACACAGUCAGCGGCUUAGA
Molecule: ribosomal RNA, 495 nt
Filed under: uncultured bacterium
Lineage: Bacteria
Description: bacterial SSU rRNA
Rfam family: Bacterial small subunit ribosomal RNA
Source: RNAcentral